UACGGGGGGAGCAAGCGUUGUUCGGAUUUACUGGGCGUAAAGGGCGCGUAGGCGGCCACCGCAAGUCGGUUGUGAAAUCUCCGGGCUUAACCCGGAAAGGUCAAUCGAUACUGCGGGGCUAGAGUGCAGAAGGGGCAACUGGAAUUCUCGGUGUAGCGGUGAAAUGCGUAGAUAUCGAGAGGAACACCUGCGGCGAAGGCGGGUUGCUGGGCCCUACCUGACGCUGAGACGCGAAAGCGUGGGGAGCGAACCGG
Molecule: ribosomal RNA, 254 nt
Filed under: uncultured bacterium
Lineage: Bacteria
Description: partial 16S ribosomal RNA
Rfam family: Bacterial small subunit ribosomal RNA
Source: RNAcentral